This 1369-nucleotide long non-coding RNA is filed under the name Equus asinus (donkey). RNAcentral's name for it is "lncRNA (ENSEASG00005026454.1)". Lineage: Eukaryota; Metazoa; Chordata; Mammalia; Perissodactyla; Equidae. The record is from RNAcentral.
AUUGGUUUGGAAACUGGCAGUGGAAGGUUAGAGUGAGCAAUUGAUGUGUAAACCAAGUGUCAGUAAAAUCAGAUGAGAUAAGUGGGAUUUUAAAGCAAGUGAGCCCUGAUCAGCAAUGACCAAGGAGAAACAGCAGCUGAGGCAGAGUGGGGGAGGGGGCGUAUUGCCAAUAAAUGAGGCAGUGUAUAAUUGUCAGUAAUGAUUGGAAUCAAGGAAAACGGGAUGGAAGAAUCAGCUAAAUAAGAACGUUUUAUCCAUAGUUACAUGACCAACUUAAACAUUAAAAAUAAAUCAUCUUCUAGAGAAUUUUUAAAAAACAAAAGUACUGUUAUCAUGUGUAAACUAAGUUAUCCGUUUGUUCCCUGUUGUUCUUAGUGCCCCUUUGUCAGUCCAGCAACUGGAAGUUUAGUAGCCUCAGUGUCACUGACGGUUUGAAGCAGGACUCGAGCAGGAGUUUUACAGCUUUUUGGUUUUCUUAAAACUUUCUUCACUGGUUUUGAUCUGCAUUCUUUUUGAUAGCUCAGAAGUUUAUUGUUAAAAACAUCAGCACAACACAUUUUUUAUGGAAUGAAAAGGCUCUUCCACACUUCGUGCUAAUAAAAUUGAAGGCAAGUUAAUUCUGUGCGUGUGUUUGGGAAAAAUGAAGAGCUCACAUGCUGUUCAUCUGGCGCACAAAUGUGCAGUGCCAUUUCUUUAUAUAAAUAGAUUCUCUUUGUUUUAUAGACUCUGUGUCAAAAUUUAUUUAUUUGUUUUCUUUAUCUUAAAACAGUUUGCACCUUAAAAACAAAAUGUCCUAUUUUUAUUAUGAAAAUUAUAUAGGCUUAUUGUUGAAAAAUCUAGGAAAUACGGAAACACAAAAAUGGCAAACUCAGUCCCCUUUAGUCCCACUACUUGAAAUUAGCUGAUGUUAAGCUCCUGAGGUAGAGCCUUCUACUCUCUUUUUUUAUCCACAUAUAAUUUUUACAGAUGUAUUAUACAUAAUGUUUUCUUCAUUUAAUUUAUUAGGAACCAAUAGUUACUUUUCUUACUCAGAAUGUAAGCACAGAUUUUUGUCAUUCUUACUUUUUCUCUCUUUCCCUUCUCAUAUAUUCCUGUUAUUCUUUUCAACUUUAAAAAUGAUCUCACUUCUCCAUUCAUUUUAUCAAAACAGUUAUGUAUUUGGUGUAUAUUUAGCAUCUAAGUUGCUAAAGUCAUAGAACAAUCUGGGUGUUAAAGUCAGCAUUUAAGAAAUGAAGUUACUUCUCUAUCCUAAGAAGAAUCUUUGGUAUAGUUAAGUUCAAGUUGAGAUGGGGUUUCAACUUUUAGGAGGAGAUCUUAAGCAUCUUUGUUGUUAUGUUUGGACUCUGGAGAAAACAGAUGAAGAUUCAUC